GAUGAACGCUGGCGGCGUGCUUAACACAUGCAAGUCGAACGAAGCACUUUAUUUGAUUUCCUUCGGGACUGAUUAUUUUGUGACUGAGUGGCGGACGGGUGAGUAACGCGUGGGUAACCUGCCUUGUACAGGGGGAUAACAGUUGGAAACGGCUGCUAAUACCGCAUAAGCGCACAGCAUCGCAUGAUGCAGUGUGAAAAACUCCGGUGGUAUAAGAUGGACCCGCGUUGGAUUAGCUAGUUGGUGAGGUAACGGCCCACCAAGGCGACGAUCCAUAGCCGACCUGAGAGGGUGACCGGCCACAUUGGGACUGAGACACGGCCCAAACUCCUACGGGAGGCAGCAGUGGGGAAUAUUGCACAAUGGGCGAAAGCCUGAUGCAGCGACGCCGCGUGAGCGAAGAAGUAUUUCGGUAUGUAAAGCUCUAUCAGCAGGGAAGAUAAUGACGGUACCUGACUAAGAAGCACCGGCUAAAUACGG
This 480-nucleotide ribosomal RNA is filed under the name uncultured bacterium. RNAcentral describes it as "partial 16S ribosomal RNA". It matches the Rfam family "Bacterial small subunit ribosomal RNA", at positions 28 to 506 of the family's 1533-position model. The record is from RNAcentral.